UCCUCCGCUCUUCCAACUCAGGGGGUCUGAUUAGAAACCCUCCCUGUGGUCCAAUGUGUCAUUCCCCGCCCCCCCCCCCCAAAGGAGGAAAUGGAUCUGACUGGACCUUCCUCUGCACACCAGCCCGGAAGGCCUUCAUCUGUUCUGGGUGGCAAACUUGAGCAUGGAGUCUCUUCAAGUGUCCAGUCCACUCUGUGGAAAGAUCCUCAUUUGUUUUGACCACUGGGAAUUCUCUCUUCUUCCGCAAGGUGACACCAUGGCCUGUACUCUGUGUGGACUUGGAAACCAGCUGUGCCACCAUAUUGAUUCUAGUCUGUCAGGUUGGCCUGGAUGACUGCAGCUUCCUUGGUCCAGGGUUGCGUUGGGCAGUUAGCACACAGCAGGCGUGACUUUCCUCCUCCUCACACCCAGCAAAACUGUCACGCUUCACCUCUACUCCUACUGCCUCAACUUAAAACAACCUGGAAUAGAGAACUGUGUCUUGCAUUUACCACCUACCUGGCGUAUGCAUUCCUUGAAAUGAGCCAACAAAUGUUCCAUGGACCACUCAGGAAGAGGAGCAGAUCGAGGAGGUCCCUCUGGUCUACAAAUUCUAUCAACUUGCCCAGGAAGUGUAGACCCGAGGACUGCGUCAGGACGCUGGAAUCAUGACCUGAGCCGAAGGCAGACGCUUAACGACUGAGCCAGCCAGGCGCCCUCCCCGCCUUACCAUACUCCUGCACACUUAUCACUACGAGCUGUGUGCCCCCAGCAACCAGCGUGGUGGUGGCUCCGUGUUGGGGGAUAGUCCUUGAGCCCCUGGAACUACCUAGCAUCCCAGCCUGGAGAGCAGAAGUGCCUGGGACCUACAGAGAUGGAGAGAGGGCAGCAGAGGCAGAAAGAGAAUCACAAGGAGGAGCCAGUCACUGAGCUCAAUCUCAUGAGCCUGAGAUCACGACCUGAGCUGAGAGAGCAAAGAGCCCAACGCUUAAGGGACUGAGCCACCCAGGUGUCCCUACUCCUCAACUUCUGAAGCAGUGGUUCCUGGGGCUUCUUCCUAAAAAAUCACGUUCACAUGAA
Molecule: long non-coding RNA, 1059 nt
Organism: Callorhinus ursinus (northern fur seal)
Lineage: Eukaryota; Metazoa; Chordata; Mammalia; Carnivora; Otariidae
Source: RefSeq, a predicted model, not a curated record